GACGAACGCUGGCGGCGUGCUUAACACAUGCAAGUCGAACGGAAAGGCCCUGCUUGCCGGGUACUCGAGUGGCGAACGGGUGAGUAACACGUGGGUGAUCUGCCCUGCACUUCGGGAUAAGCCUGGGAAACUGGGUCUAAUACCGGAUAGGAGCCAUUUUUAGUGUGAUGGUUGGAAAGUUUUUUCGGUGUAGGAUGAGCUCGCGGCCUAUCAGCUUGUUGGUGGGGUAAUGGCCUACCAAGGCGGCGACGGGUAGCCGGCCUGAGAGGGUGGACGGCCACAUUGGGACUGAGAUACGGCCCAGACUCCUACGGGAGGCAGCGGUGGGGAAUAUUGCACAAUGGGCGCAAGCCUGAUGCAGCGACGCCGCGUGGGGGAUGACGGCCUUCGGGUUGUAAACUCCUUUCGCUAGGGACGAAGCUUUUUGUGACGGUACCUAGAUAAGAAGCACCGGCUAACUACGUG
Molecule: ribosomal RNA, 465 nt
Filed under: uncultured bacterium
Lineage: Bacteria
Description: partial 16S ribosomal RNA
Rfam family: Bacterial small subunit ribosomal RNA
Source: RNAcentral